This 254-nucleotide ribosomal RNA is filed under the name uncultured bacterium. RNAcentral's name for it is "partial 16S ribosomal RNA". It matches the Rfam family "Bacterial small subunit ribosomal RNA", at positions 524 to 776 of the family's 1533-position model. The record is from RNAcentral.
CACGUAGGGUGCGAGCGUUGUCCGGAAUUAUUGGGCGUAAAGAGCUCGUAGGCGGUGUGUCGCGUCGGCCGUGAAAACCUGCAGCUUAACUGCGGGCUUGCGGUCGAUACGGGCAUCACUGGAGUUCGGCAGGGGAGACUGGAAUUCCUGGUGUAGCGGUGAAAUGCGCAGAUAUCAGGAGGAACACCGGUGGCGAAGGCGGGUCUCUGGGCAGUAACUGACGCUGAGGAGCGAAAGCGUGGGGAGCGAACAGG